AGAGGGGUGCAAGCGUUAAUCGGAAUUACUGGGCGUAAAGGGCGCGUAGGGCGGAUAAUUAAGUUAGUAGUGAAAUCCCUGGGGCUUAACCUAGGACUUGCUUCUAAUACUGGUUGUCUAGAGUGCAGUAGAGGGAAGUGGAAUUUCCGGUGUAGCGGUGAAAUGCGUAGAUAUCGGAAGGAACACCAGUGGCGAAGGCGACUUCCUGGACUGCAACUGACGCUGAGGCGCGAAAGCGUGGGGAGCGAACAGGAUUAGAUACCCUGGUAGUCCACGCCGUAAACGAUGAGAACUAGCCGUUGGUAGGUUAAUACCUAUCAGUGGCGCAGCUAACGCGUUAAGUUCUCCGCCUGGGGAGUACGGUCGCAAGAUUA
RNAcentral lists this ribosomal RNA (374 nucleotides) under uncultured organism. RNAcentral's name for it is "partial 16S ribosomal RNA". It matches the Rfam family "Bacterial small subunit ribosomal RNA", at positions 526 to 896 of the family's 1533-position model. The record is from RNAcentral.